RNAcentral lists this ribosomal RNA (246 nucleotides) under uncultured Actinomycetales bacterium. RNAcentral describes it as "partial 16S ribosomal RNA". It matches the Rfam family "Bacterial small subunit ribosomal RNA", at positions 88 to 334 of the family's 1533-position model. Lineage: Bacteria; Bacillati; Actinomycetota; Actinomycetes; Actinomycetales. The record is from RNAcentral.
UGCUCGAGUGGCUAACGGGUGAGUAACACGUGAGUAACCUGCCCUUGACUUUGGGAUAACUUCAGGAAACUGGGGCUAAUACCGGAUAGGAGCUCCUGCUGCAUGGUGGUGGGUUGGAAAGUUUCGGCGGUUGGGGAUGGACUCGCGGCUUAUCAGCUUGUUGGUGGGGUAGUGGCUUACCAAGGCUUUGACGGGUAGCCGGCCUGAGAGGGUGACCGGCCACAUUGGGACUGAGAUACGGCCCAG